Molecule: ribosomal RNA, 252 nt
Filed under: Escherichia coli
Lineage: Bacteria; Pseudomonadati; Pseudomonadota; Gammaproteobacteria; Enterobacterales; Enterobacteriaceae
Description: partial 23S ribosomal RNA
Rfam family: Bacterial large subunit ribosomal RNA
Source: RNAcentral
CUUGACACUGAACAUUGAGCCUUGAUGUGUAGGAUAGGUGGGAGGCUUUGAAGUGUGGACGCCAGUCUGCAUGGAGCCGACCUUGAAAUACCACCCUUUAAUGUUUGAUGUUCUAACGUUGACCCGUAAUCCGGGUUGCGGACAGUGUCUGGUGGGUAGUUUGACUGGGGCGGUCUCCUCCUAAAGAGUAACGGAGGAGCACGAAGGUUGGCUAAUCCUGGUCGGACAUCAGGAGGUUAGUGCAAUGGCAUA